UUAACUAUUGUAUAGUACUCGGACGGCACGUUUACUAUUAGGGUUUUGGGGCCUUUGGCGGGCGCACACCAGCGAAAUGCCGGUGGCCUGGGCGGUCGACCCGCCAAAGCAACAUAAGUCAGGUAAACAGGGUGGGAGAUCUACCCAGAGGGCAUGAACUCGGUAAUGAUCCUUCCGCAGGUUCACCUACGGAAA
RNAcentral lists this unclassified non-coding RNA (195 nucleotides) under uncultured fungus. RNAcentral's name for it is "sequence contains ITS1". The record is from RNAcentral. Lineage: Eukaryota; Fungi.